GAUGAACGCUGGUGGCGUGCCUAAUACAUGCCAGUCGAGCGAACAGAUGAGGAGCUUGCUCCUCUGACGUUAGCGGCGGACGGGUGAGUAACACGUGGAUAACCUACCUAUAAGACUGGGAUAACUUCGGGAAACCGGAGCUAAUACCGGAUAAUAUAUUGAACCGCAUGGUUCAAUAGUGAAAGACGGUUUUGCUGUCACUUAUAGAUGGAUCCGCGCCGCAUUAGCUAGUUGGUAAGGUAACGGCUUACCAAGGCAACGAUGCGUAGCCGACCUGAGAGGGUGAUCGGCCACACUGGAACUGAGACACGGUCCAGACUCCUACGGGAGGCAGCAGUAGGGAAUCUUCCGCAAUGGGCGAAAGCCUGACGGAGCAACGCCGCGUGAGUGAUGAAGGUCUUCGGAUCGUAAAACUCUGUUAUUAGGGAAGAACAAAUGUGUAAGUAACUAUGCACGUCUUGACGGUACCUAAUCAGAAAGCCACGGCUAACUACGUG
This 497-nucleotide ribosomal RNA is filed under the name uncultured bacterium. RNAcentral describes it as "partial 16S ribosomal RNA". It matches the Rfam family "Bacterial small subunit ribosomal RNA", at positions 28 to 507 of the family's 1533-position model. The record is from RNAcentral.